AGAAGAGCCUUUUAUCAGUAUAUGAAUAAAAUUGGAAAUUGACGUUCAGAAGCAUUCAUACUAUGGACAUUUAGAAAAUACAGUAUCUCCCUGAUAUUACAGUGUGUGGAACGGGAAGGGGUUUUGACAUUUAAUCUUAACAUAGCCCACUUUAACUCCUUGAAGAAAUAUGAUGGGUGUGCUUGGUAGAAGUAACAGAUUAUCGAUUCAGAGAUUGUUUGAGGGAAAAAAAAUAAAAAAAAAUUCCUAAAAAGGAUUUUAUUGAAAAUAUUACAUAAUUUGGCUUCCGUUUCCUAAUGCAUAGCACCUGCAAAAAACUAUUCUGUGGUAAAUCAGUCAGCGGCCUCACCUGAAUGAAUGUUCCCGACCUCUUUCCAAAUGUUAACUGUGGUCUCUAGUUUCCCUUUGUGUCUCUGGUUAGCGGUCUGUAGCAAUAAGCACUGACCGUAAAUGUAUUAUGUUCCUGUAUACAUACUGUCAGCACAGAUUGCUACAGCCCCACUACUUUCGCUAUUUUCCCAGCACUAACCAGAGAGAGGAGAGCACUGCUGCCAGCAAUCAGGGCUGACAGCAGAAGAAAUACAGUGUGAAGUAUGUGACGUUUUAAGUAAAAGAUCAGAAAUGCAAGCCAGCCACAGGGAGAACAAAGGUAGACUGAGAAGCUUGCCACUGCAUCUUACCAAGUACCAGUCUUUAGCUCAGUAGACUUAAAACUGAAUUUUCUUUGCAGCACUCACUAAAGAGGCAGUUUACUAAUAAAAUGUAUAAAUAAAAUAAAAAAGUGCUCAAUAAAGUAUCUUAGAAAAACAUUUUAUAUCAUUGCCCCAAUGUGUU
This is a long non-coding RNA of Bufo bufo (common toad), 834 nucleotides long. RefSeq lists it as uncharacterized. The transcript has 2 exons. The record is from RefSeq and is a predicted model, not a curated record. Lineage: Eukaryota; Metazoa; Chordata; Amphibia; Anura; Bufonidae.